AGCUCAGAGAUAUUGUUCUGUGGAAAAGUCACUCUGAAAUAUUCAAGUUAAUUCAUUAUAUAAGAGAAAUUCUAAGUGAUAAAUAUCUGAAGAAGAUGGUUCUGGACAUAAGCACGCAGGCGAUAAAGGCAAAUAUAAAUAAAAUAUAUGCUAGGAUAAGAGAAUUUGAAGAAGAAUUAGAGAGGAAUGCCGAUUAUGAAACCUGCAGCAGAAUUCAGGCUGAAGUUAAUCAAAUGCGCGCUUAUCUUAAACAGAUAUUAGACUUACUAAAGGAAGACCAAAGCAGCAAUUAACACUGAAACAAAGUCAUUGGGACCCAAAGAAGGCAAUACAGAACCAGAGAAAUGUCAUUGCCGAUCAAUUAGUGGAUCGAAUUCAGGCCCACUUCCACGUAAUCUUCCACGGACAGCACUAAGCAACUCUUAUACUCGUAUACUUCCAUGAACUAUCAAAAAUGAAACAAAGGCAUUAGGAUCCAAACGAAGACAGUGACACGAAGGCAUCCAAAGCCAGAUACAAAUCUCAGCCGAUCGAUCAGUGGAUUAAAUUCAGGCUCACUUGCACGUAACCUUCCACGGAAAACACUCACAAGUUCUUAGAUUCGUACAACCACACAACAUAAAGCAGUUUAUUCCUUUAGAUACUGGUAAUAUGCGUACAGUAUUAUGGCGGACAACAGAGAGAACAUUUUUGAGUGGAACGGAUGCCUGACUCCGGUUACUGCAAUAAAUACCUCAACUAUAUAGAUUACAUUGCCAAUAAAACAAGUCACUCCCACAGACAUCGUUUGAUAGUUAUCCAGCUUCCAGAUCCCUGUAGUGAUGUCCCUAAAUAUCAUAGUUUUAUCCUAUCUCAGUUUCCUGAUGCUUCAAUGCUUCCACAGAGUUUUCCCAAAAGAAUUAUUGAAUCUGUCUGUUCAUUCAAAAAGGUUUCCAGAUCCCAUUCAAAAUUGCCAUUCCAUUUCCAAUGUGUGGUGUCCGUGCCAGUGAUUUUUGCUGCCACUGCUUCGACUUUUCCUUGUUCUGCUUUUCACCUCCUACACACUGCACUGCUUGCUUGUCGCUGCUAAUUUACUGUUAUGACAUCAGCUGGCAGGCAGCAGCAGAAGCAGCAGCAUGGUUGUGUUUUCGCUGAGGUUAAGUCGAAGGUUAAGGUGGAACUGGAAACUGCUUGGAAUUGCUUGUAAUUGUUCUUGUUGCCGCCUGACGCUGACGUUGUCCGAAGCGCCUGUUUAAAUGUUUGUCAAAGGAAAAAGACGUGUCAACUGGCGCCGUUGUUGCUGUUUGGUCCCCCCAUUGCCACCACUCACUCUCCCACCCUUCCGCUCUCCCGCAGUGCUGUCUCUCAUCUCCAUCUUCGAAAAUGAGGCCGAUUUUUUGAAAAUUUAAUGAUGUAACCAUCAUGAUAUUUUGCGAAAAUCGUGAAAAAGUGGAUGUCCUUUUUUAAUAUGGCAAUCCACUCACAGGACUCUCCUGAUCACGAAAAGACAUGCCAUGCCCCGAUCGGCUGCCGUAUGGCAGAGAUAAAGCGUACAGAACAAACCUCUUUGAUAUAUGCCAGAUAACAGAUAUUGAUGGUGAACCGAAAAAAUCUAUGGUCGGCUUAUUUUUCUCCCAUCGAUAGUAUCGAUAGCACUAUUGAUUUAAGUUCUGCGAUGCACCCUGUCUAUAGUCAAAGUUAUAGUAAAAUGUGCCAAGAAAAUCACAGCCGAUUGAUACAUAGACACCUUGGAAAAAUCGUUACUUCUAAUUAAAAAAUCAAGGAAAAGCAAGCUCAGAGAUAUUGUUCUGUGGAAAAGUCACUCUGAAAUAUUCAAGUUAAUUCAUUAUAUAAAAGAAAUUCUAAGUGAUAAAUAUCUGAAGAAGAUGGCUCUGGACAUAAGCACGCAGGCGAUAAAGGCAAAUAUAAAUAAAAUAUAUGCCAGGAUAAGAGAAUUUGAAGAAGAAUUAGAGAGGAAUGCCGAUUAUGAAACCUGCAGCAGAAUUCAGGCUGAAGUUAAUCAAAUGCGCGCUUAUCUUAAACAGAUAUUAGACUUACUAAAGGAAGACCAAAGCAGCAAUUAACACUGAAACAAAGUCAUUGGGACCCAAAGAAGGCAAUACAGAACCAGAGAAAAGUUAUUGCCGAUCAAUUAGUGGAUCGAAUUCAGGCCCACUUCCACGUAAUCUUCCACGGACAGCACUAAGCAACUCUUAUACUCGUAUACUUCCAUGAACUAUCAAAGAUGAAACAAAGGCAUUAGGAUCCAAACGAAGACAGUGACACGAAGGCAUCCAAAGCCAGAUACAAAUCUCAGCCGAUCGAUCAGUGGAUUAAAUUCAGGCUCACUUGCACGUAACCUUCCACGGAAAACACUCACAAGUUCUUAGAUUGGUACAACCACACAACAUAAAGCAGUUUAUUCCUUUAGAUACUGGUAAUAUGCGUACAGUAUUAUGGCGGACAACAGAGAGAACAUUUUUGAGUGGAACGGAUGCCUGACUCCGGUUACUGCAAUAAAUACCUCAACUAUAUAGAUUCCAUUGCCAAUAAAACAAGUCACUCCCACAGACAUCGUUUGAUAGUUAUCUAGCUUCCAGAUCCCUGUAGUGAUGUCCCUAAAUAUCAUAGUUUUAUCCUAUCUCAGUUUCCUGAUGCUUCAAUGCUUCCACAGAGUUUUCCCAAAAGAAUUAUUGAAUCUGUCUGUUCAUUCAAAAAGGUUUCCAGAUCCCAUUCAAAAUUGCCAUUCCAUUUCCAAUGUGUGGUGUCCGUGCCAGUGAUUUUUGCUGCCACUGCUUCGACUUUUCCUUGUUCUGCUUUUCACCUCCUACACACUGCACUGCUUGCUUGUCGCUGCUAAUUUACUGUUAUGACAUCAGCUGGCAGGCAGCAGCAGAAGCAGCAGCAUGGUUGUGUUUUCGCUGAGGUUAAGUCGAAGGUUAAGGUGGAACUGGAAACUGCUUGGAAUUGCUUGUAAUUGUUCUUGUUGCCGCCUGACGCUGACGCUGACGUUGUCCGAAGCGCCCGUUUAAAUGUUUGUCAAAGGAAAAAGACGUGUCAACUGGCGCCGUUGUUGCUGUUUGGUCCCCCCAUUGCCACCACUCACUCUCCCGCCCUUCCGCUCUCCCGCAGUGCUGUCUCUCAUCUCCAUCUUCGAAAAUGAGGCCGAUUUUUUGAAAAUUUAAUGAUGUAACCAUCAUGAUAUUUUGCGAAAAUCGUGAAAAAGUGGAUGUCCUUUUUUAAUAUGGCAAUCCACUCACAGGACUCUCCUGAUCACGAAAAGACAUGCCAUGCCCCGAUCGGCUGCCGUAUGGCAGAGAUAAAGCGUACAGAACAAACCUCUUUGAUAUAUGCCAGAUAACAGAUAUUGAUGGUGAACCGAAAAAAUCUAUGGUCGGCUUAUUUUUCACCCAUCGAUAGUAUCGAUAGCACUAUUGAUUUAAGUUCUGCGAUGCACCCUGUCUAUAGUCAAAGUUAUGGUAAAAUGUGCCAAGAAAAUCACAGCCGAUUGAAACAUAUAGACACCUUGGAAAAAUCCUUACUUCUAAUUAAAAAAUCAAGGAAAAGCAAGCUCAGAGAUAUUGUUCUGUGGAAAAGUCACUCUGAAAUAUUCAAGUUAAUUCAUUAUAUAAAAGAAAUUCUAAGUGAUAAAUAUCUGAAGAAGAUGGCUCUGGACAUAAGCACGCAGGCGAUAAACGCAAAUAUAAAUAAAAUAUAUGCUAGGAUAAGAGAAUUUGAAGAAGAAUUAGAGAGGAAUGCCGAUUAUGAGACCUGCAGCAGAAUUCAGGCUGAAGUUAAUCAAAUGCGCGCUUAUCUUAAACAGAUAUUAGACUUACUAAGGAAGACCAAAGCAGCAAUUAACACUGAAACAAAGUCAUUGGGACCCAAAGAAGGCCGCGACGGACGCGACGGACGCGACAGGAAAAAGGUUCGUAUACUUCCAUGAACUAUCAAAAAUGAAACAAAGGCAUUAGGAUCCAAACGAAGACAGUGACACGAAGGCAUCCAAAGCCAGAUACAAAUCUCAGCCGAUCGAUCAGUGGAUUAAAUUCAGGCUCACUUGCACGUAACCUUCCACGGAAAACACUCACAAGUUCUUAGAUUCGUACAACCACACAACAUAAAGCAGUUUAUUCCUUUAGAUACUGGUAAUAUGCGUACAGUAUUAUGGCGGACAACAGAGAGAACAUUUUUGAGUGGAACGGAUGCCUGACUCCGGUUACUGCAAUAAAUACCUCAACUAUAUAGAUUACAUUGCCAAUAAAACAAGUCACUCCCA
Drosophila miranda is the source of this 4258-nucleotide long non-coding RNA. RefSeq lists it as uncharacterized. The transcript is spliced from 4 exons. Lineage: Eukaryota; Metazoa; Arthropoda; Insecta; Diptera; Drosophilidae. The record is from RefSeq and is a predicted model, not a curated record.